This 468-nucleotide ribosomal RNA is filed under the name uncultured bacterium. RNAcentral describes it as "partial 16S ribosomal RNA". It matches the Rfam family "Bacterial small subunit ribosomal RNA", at positions 28 to 507 of the family's 1533-position model. The record is from RNAcentral.
GACGAACGCUGGCGGCGUGCCUAACACAUGCAAGUCGAACGGAAAGGCCCUGCUUUUGUGGGGUGCUCGAGUGGCGAACGGGUGAGUAACACGUGAGUAACCUGCCCUUGACUUUGGGAUAACUUCAGGAAACUGGGGCUAAUACCGGAUAGGAGCUCCUGCUGCAUGGUGGGGGUUGGAAAGUUUCGGCGGUUGGGGAUGGACUCGCGGCUUAUCAGCUUGUUGGUGGGGUAGUGGCUUACCAAGGCUUUGACGGGUAGCCGGCCUGAGAGGGUGACCGGCCACAUUGGGACUGAGAUACGGCCCAGACUCCUACGGGAGGCAGCAGUGGGGAAUAUUGCACAAUGGGCGGAAGCCUGAUGCUGCAACGCCGCGUGCGGGAUGACGGCCUUCGGGUUGUAAACCGCUUUCGCCUGUGACGAAGCGUGAGUGACGGUAAUGGGUAAAGAAGCACCGGCUAACUACGUG